Molecule: ribosomal RNA, 260 nt
Filed under: uncultured bacterium
Lineage: Bacteria
Description: partial 16S ribosomal RNA
Rfam family: Bacterial small subunit ribosomal RNA
Source: RNAcentral
AGCGGCGGACGGGUGAGUAACGCGUGGGUAACCUGCCUCAUACAGGGGGAUAACAGUUAGAAAUGACUGCUAAUACCGCAUAAGCGCACGGGACCGCAUGGUCUUGUGUGAAAAACUCCGGUGGUAUGAGAUGGACCCGCGUCUGAUUAGGUAGUUGGCGGGGUAGCGGCCCACCAAGCCGACGAUCAGUAGCCGACCUGAGAGGGUGACCGGCCACAUUGGGACUGAGACACGGCCCAAACUCCUACGGAAGGCAGCAG